GUGUCAAAUCAUUUCAACAGACAUUUUUUUAAGCUUAAGAAGCUCAGGAAAAUUUAAAUAGUUAUUUUAAGUUUGUUUUUAAUAAAAAUUAAAUCAUAGUUCAAAGAGAUAUUCAGCGUAUAAAGUGUGUUGCUGGUUGCAGUUUGGGGGUGCCGUUGUCUCCCUUCUUAUCAGAAGGGGAAAUCUCCAGGCGGCACGAAUGGAUCAACCUGUUGGUUGUUUUAAAACUGUAUAUAUAAAAAGGGUGAAAAUGGUGCGGCAAUACUGACAUUGCACAAAUUAAAGAGCGGAAGUUUACUUCAUAUCGGAGUUGUACAGUUGUGUGAACAAAAA
Molecule: long non-coding RNA, 333 nt
Organism: Bactrocera dorsalis (oriental fruit fly)
Lineage: Eukaryota; Metazoa; Arthropoda; Insecta; Diptera; Tephritidae
Exons: 3
Source: RefSeq, a predicted model, not a curated record